This 455-nucleotide ribosomal RNA is filed under the name Clostridioides difficile. Its description in RNAcentral is "bacterial LSU rRNA". It matches the Rfam family "Bacterial large subunit ribosomal RNA", at positions 2429 to 2886 of the family's 2925-position model. The record is from RNAcentral. Lineage: Bacteria; Bacillati; Bacillota; Clostridia; Peptostreptococcales; Peptostreptococcaceae.
CUGCGUGGAAGGGCCAUCGCUCAACGGAUAAAAGCUACCCUGGGGAUAACAGGCUUAUCUCCCCCAAGAGUCCACAUCGACGGGGAGGUUUGGCACCUCGAUGUCGGCUCAUCACAUCCUGGGGCUGUAGUAGGUCCCAAGGGUUGGGCUGUUCGCCCAUUAAAGUGGUACGCGAGCUGGGUUCAGAACGGCGUGAGACAGUUCGGUCCCUAUCCGUCGCAGGCGUAGGAAAUUUGAGAAGACCUGUCCUUAGUACGAGAGGACCGGGAUGGACGUACCUCUGGUGUACCAGUUGUUCUGCCAAGGGCAUGGCUGGGUAGCUAUGUACGGAAUGGAUAAGCGCUGAAAGCAUCUAAGCGCGAAGCCAACUUCAAGAUAAGAUUUCCCACCGCAAGGGUAAGACCCCAGAAAGACUAUCUGGUUGAUAGGUCGAAGGUGUAAGUGCAGCAAUGUAU